GGUGCCAUGUGGAGCAAUGCCGCGUGGAGGUGGAAGGCCUACGGGUUGUCAACUUCUUUUCUCGGAGAAGAAACAAUGACGACAUUUGAGGAAUAAGCAUCGGCUAACUCUGUGCUAGCAGUCACGGUAAGACAGAUGAUGCA
Triticum aestivum (bread wheat) is the source of this 143-nucleotide non-coding RNA. Lineage: Eukaryota; Viridiplantae; Streptophyta; Magnoliopsida; Poales; Poaceae. The record is from Rfam.